CUGAAAUCACACCAUAACACAUGUGAAAAGCGCUAUGAGGUGGCGCAGGCAGAGAGACAAGAGGAGGAGAGGAAGAGGACUAUGGUUCUACUUCGUCAGCGGGAUACAGCAGUUCUUCACAGAGAAGAAAGUGGUCAGAGGAGGAGGUCACGGCGGUGGAGAAGACGCUGAAUGCCUUUAUAAGGUCUAGGAAAGUCCCUGGAAAAGAUGAGUGUGAAAAAUGUAUCAAGGCGUCUCCACAGGCUCUGCAGGGAAGGAGCUGGACAGCAGUAAAAUUCUAUGUGAAGAACAGAAUCGAUGCUGACAAAAGAAAGAAAUAAGCUGCUGCUGAGUUCUCAAAGCACUUUAUUGUUAGUCAGAGUCUAAGCUAAAUUAGUAGCAAAUUAAAAUGCUCAAAGUUUGUAUUUCAUUCAGAUUAUGAUUUUAUGUUAAACUCUUCAUUGAAUGAGUUGCUGUUAAAGCUAGAGAGAAUUUGUGCAUUUGACUCUGACAUGUUGGAACAGUGUAUGCAUUUUCAUGUUUUAAUGCAUCUGUUGGUUAAAUAAACCACAUCUCAUUACA
This is a long non-coding RNA of Melanotaenia boesemani (Boeseman's rainbowfish), 561 nucleotides long. RefSeq lists it as uncharacterized. The record is from RefSeq and is a predicted model, not a curated record. The transcript has 2 exons. Lineage: Eukaryota; Metazoa; Chordata; Actinopteri; Atheriniformes; Melanotaeniidae.